Molecule: ribosomal RNA, 494 nt
Filed under: uncultured bacterium
Lineage: Bacteria
Description: partial 16S ribosomal RNA
Rfam family: Bacterial small subunit ribosomal RNA
Source: RNAcentral
GACGAACGCUGGCGGCGUGCUUAACACAUGCAAGUCGAACGGUGAAGCGCCUUCCUUUUUGGUGGGUGUGGAUGAGUGGCGAACGGGUGAGUAACACGUGAGUAACCUGCCCCCUUCUUCUGGAUAACCGCAUGAAAGUGUGGCUAAUACGGGAUAUUCUGGGUCUGUCGCAUGAUGGGUCUGGGAAAGAUAUUGUUUCGGUGGGGGAUGGGCUCGCGGCCUAUCAGCUUGUUGGUGGGGUGAUGGCCUACCAAGGCGGUGACGGGUAGCCGGCCUGAGAGGGUGGCCGGUCACACGGGGACUGAGACACGGCCCGGACUCCUACGGGGGGCAGCAGUGGGGAAUAUUGCACAAUGGGCGCAAGCCUGAUGCAGCGACGCCGCGUGAGGGAUGGAGGCCUUCGGGUUGUGAACCUCUUUCGCCAGUGAAGCAGGCCUGCCUCGUUUGUGGGUGGGUUGACGGUAGCUGGAUAAGAAGCGCCGGCUAACUACGUG